RNAcentral lists this non-coding RNA (181 nucleotides) under gamma proteobacterium BDW918. Lineage: Bacteria; Pseudomonadati; Pseudomonadota; Gammaproteobacteria; Cellvibrionales; Spongiibacteraceae. RNAcentral also lists the same sequence under 1 other name. The record is from RNAcentral.
AGUGCGCGCCACGUAAUAGGUGCUCAAGCCCGCGUUAUUCGCGGCGAUGAGUUAAACGGGAAGUCCGGUGAGGCGUGUUCAUACAGAACACCACCAAGUCCGACGCUGCCCCCGCAACGGUAAGCCACUGUCGAGUACAAGAUAGGGCAAGCCCGGAACCGGCCUACUACCGAUUCACCCG